RNAcentral lists this unclassified non-coding RNA (295 nucleotides) under uncultured fungus. RNAcentral describes it as "sequence contains ITS1". The record is from RNAcentral. Lineage: Eukaryota; Fungi.
UGGACUACUGGGGUUUCUAAUCCUGUUUGCUCCCCACGCUUUCAUGCCUCAGCGUCAGUUACAGUCCAGAAAGCCGCCUUCGCCACUGAUGUUCUUCCUAAUCUCUACGCAUUUCACCGCUACACUAGGAAUUCCGCUUUCCUCUCCUGCACUCUAGAUACCCAGUUUGAAAUGCAGUCCCCAGGUUAAGCCCGGGGCUUUCACAUCUCACUUAAGUAUCCGCCUACACAUCCUUUACGCCCAGUAAAUCCGGACAACGCUUGCCACCUACGUAUUACCGCGGCUGCCUGGCACC